Molecule: ribosomal RNA, 253 nt
Filed under: uncultured bacterium
Lineage: Bacteria
Description: partial 16S ribosomal RNA
Rfam family: Bacterial small subunit ribosomal RNA
Source: RNAcentral
UACGUAGGGGGCGAGCGUUGUCCGAAGUUACUGGGCGUAAAGAGUACGUAGGUGGCUUGUUAAGAUACAUCUGAAAGGUGACAGCUCAACUGUCAAUGGUGGUGUAAGACUGGCAGGCUUGAGGCAAGCAGAAGAGUGUGGAACUCCGAGUGUAGCGGUGGAAUGCGUAGAUAUCGGGAGGAACACCGGUGGCGAAGGCGGCGACCUGGGUAGAUACUGACGCUGAGGCGCGAAAGCGUGGGGAGCAAACAGG